Callithrix jacchus (white-tufted-ear marmoset) is the source of this 109-nucleotide small nucleolar RNA. Its record names the gene U3. It matches the Rfam family "Small nucleolar RNA U3". Rfam says of the family: Small nucleolar RNAs (snoRNAs) are involved in the processing and modification of rRNA in the nucleolus. There are two main classes of snoRNAs: the box C/D class, and the box H/ACA class. U3 snoRNA is a member of the box C/D class. The record is from Ensembl. Lineage: Eukaryota; Metazoa; Chordata; Mammalia; Primates; Cebidae.
AAGUAUAGUCUUUCAGGGAUCAUUUCUAUAGUUUUUUACUAGAGAAGUUUCUCUGAACGUGUGGAGUACCAGCUGAAACUAUGAAUAGACCAAUAACAAGGUCAGAAGU